This 275-nucleotide ribosomal RNA is filed under the name Paenibacillus agri. RNAcentral's name for it is "Bacterial large subunit ribosomal RNA". It matches the Rfam family "Bacterial large subunit ribosomal RNA", at positions 698 to 971 of the family's 2925-position model. The record is from Rfam by way of RNAcentral. Lineage: Bacteria; Bacillati; Bacillota; Bacilli; Caryophanales; Paenibacillaceae.
AGUAUGUGGACGUAGACCCGAAACCGUGUGAUCUACCCCUGUCCAGGGUGAAGGUGCGGUAACACGCACUGGAGGCCCGAACCCACGUACGUUGAAAAGUGCGGGGAUGAGGUGGGGGUAGCGGAGAAAUUCCAAUCGAACUCGGAGAUAGCUGGUUCUCCCCGAAAUAGCUUUAGGGCUAGCCUCGGUAUAAAAGUAGUGGAGGUAGAGCACUGAUUGGGUGCGGGGCCCGCAAGGGUUACCAAGCUCAGUCAAACUCCGAAUGCCAUAUACUU